GGUGGAUGUAAAAAGCACACGAGAUGAUGAUGCUAAGGCUUCACAAACUAUGAUCUAGCGAGGAUACCAGAACCUCCUCUGAUUGAAAGCAUUGGUCCGUAGCUUGGACUGCGACUAAUCAGAUGUGAAUCGAGGAACAAAACUAUAACAGUGAUGUCGUCGUGAAAAUGCCUUCUUACCCCGCGGUCAAUCUUCUUCAAGUCUGUAUAUCUCAUUUCUCUUUUCUUUG
Molecule: unclassified non-coding RNA, 229 nt
Filed under: Hevea brasiliensis (rubber tree)
Lineage: Eukaryota; Viridiplantae; Streptophyta; Magnoliopsida; Malpighiales; Euphorbiaceae
Source: RNAcentral